GGAAGUUUACUGAGGCGGUACUCCAGUUUGGGUUGUGUAGAUGUACUGGAGAUUAUUCUAUGUUUUAUCGAGUUUCUGGAGCUGGUCGGAUAUUCCUUGUAGUUUAUGUGGAUGAUAUUGUCAUAACUGGAGAUGAUUCUACAGGGAUUAAAGAGUUGAAAAGAGACAGGUAUGCUAGGUGCUAAACCACUGGAUACACCAAUGGAAGUGGGCUCUAAAUUGACAGCAGAAGAUGGUGAGCUGUUGGAUGAUCCGCAGAGGUAUCGAAGACUUGUUGGAAA
This is a long non-coding RNA of Syzygium oleosum, 281 nucleotides long. RefSeq lists it as uncharacterized. The record is from RefSeq and is a predicted model, not a curated record. NCBI's taxonomy places the organism in Eukaryota, Viridiplantae, Streptophyta, Magnoliopsida, Myrtales, Myrtaceae. The transcript has 2 exons.